RNAcentral lists this ribosomal RNA (493 nucleotides) under uncultured bacterium. Its description in RNAcentral is "bacterial SSU rRNA". It matches the Rfam family "Bacterial small subunit ribosomal RNA", at positions 887 to 1380 of the family's 1533-position model. The record is from RNAcentral.
GACAAGGUUAAAACUCAAAGGAAUUGACGGGACCCGCACAAGCGGUGGAUGAUGUGGAUUAAUUCGAUGCAACGCGAAAAACCUUACCUACCCUUGACAUGCUAGGAACCCUGCUGAGAGGCGGGGGUGCCCGAAAGGGAGCCUAGACACAGGUGCUGCAUGGCUGUCGUCAGCUCGUGUCGUGAGAUGUUGGGUUAAGUCCCGCAACGAGCGCAACCCUUGCCGCUAAUUGCCAUCAUUCAGUUGGGCACUUUAGUGGGACUGCCGGUGACAAACCGGAGGAAGGUGGGGAUGACGUCAAGUCCUCAUGGCCCUUAUGGGUAGGGCUUCACACGUCAUACAAUGGCGCAUACAGAGGGCUGCAAAACCGCGAGGUGGAGCCAAUCCCAGAAAGUGCGUCGUAGUCCGGAUUGCAGUCUGCAACUCGACUGCAUGAAGUCGGAAUCGCUAGUAAUCGCGGAUCAGCAUGUCGCGGUGAAUACGUUCCCGGGUC